RNAcentral lists this ribosomal RNA (455 nucleotides) under uncultured bacterium. RNAcentral describes it as "bacterial SSU rRNA". It matches the Rfam family "Bacterial small subunit ribosomal RNA", at positions 340 to 786 of the family's 1533-position model. The record is from RNAcentral.
UACGGAAGGCAGCAGUGGGGAAUAUUGCACAAUGGGCGCAAGCCUGAUGCAGCCAUGCCGCGUGUAUGAAAAAGGCCUUCGGGUUGUAAAGUACUUUCAGUCGUGAGGAAGGUGUUAAGGUUAAUAACCUUAGCAAUUGACGUUAGCGGCAGAAGAAGCACCGGCUAACUCCGUGCCAGCAGCCGCGGUAAUACGGAGGGUGCGAGCGUUAAUCGGAAUUACUGGGCGUAAAGGGCACGCAGGCGGUUAAUUAAGUUGGAUGUGAAAUCCCCGGGCUUAACCUGGGAAUGGCAUUCAAGACUGGUUAGCUAGAGUCUUGUAGAGGGGGUAGAAUUCCAUGUGUAGCGGUGAAAUGCGUAGAGAUGUGGAGGAAUACCGGUGGCGAAGGCGGCCCCCUGGGACAAAGACUGACGCUCAUGUGCGAAAGCGUGGGGAGCAAACAGGGAUUAGAUACC